CAACCUUAACACUAACCCUACUAUUUUAUUAACACAACCGAUAAACCACCAAAACAAUCACACCAAAAUUA
Molecule: transfer RNA, 71 nt
Filed under: Echyridella menziesii
Lineage: Eukaryota; Metazoa; Mollusca; Bivalvia; Unionida; Hyriidae
Description: tRNA-Ala
Source: RNAcentral